RNAcentral lists this ribosomal RNA (725 nucleotides) under uncultured bacterium. Its description in RNAcentral is "bacterial SSU rRNA". It matches the Rfam family "Bacterial small subunit ribosomal RNA", at positions 59 to 744 of the family's 1533-position model. The record is from RNAcentral.
CAGUCGAGCGAGUCUGCCUUGAAGAUCGGAGUGCUUGCACUCUGUGAAACAAGAUACAGGCUAGCGGCGGACGGGUGAGUAACACGUGGGUAACCUGCCCAAGAGAUCGGGAUAACACCUGGAAACAGAUGCUAAUACCGGAUAACAACAGAUGAUGCCUAUCAACUGUUUAAAAGAUGGUUCUGCUAUCACUCUUGGAUGGACCUGCGGUGCAUUAGCUAGUUGGUAGGGUAACGGCCUACCAAGGCGAUGAUGCAUAGCCGAGUUGAGAGACUGAUCGGCCACAUUGGGACUGAGACACGGCCCAAACUCCUACGGGAGGCAGCAGUAGGGAAUCUUCCACAAUGGACGCAAGUCUGAUGGAGCAACGCCGCAUGAGUGAAGAAGGGUUUCGGCUCGUAAAGCUCUGUUGUUGGUGAAGAAGGACAGGGGUAGUAACUGACCUUUGUUUGACGGUAAUCAAUUAGAAAGUCACGGCUAACUACGUGCCAGCAGCCGCGGUAAUACGUAGGUGGCAAGCGUUGUCCGGAUUUAUUGGGCGUAAAGCGAGUGCAGGCGGCUCGAUAAGUCUGAUGUGAAAGCCUUCGGCUCAACCGGAGAAUUGCAUCAGAAACUGUCGAGCUUGAGNNNNGAAGAGGAGAGUGGAACUCCAUGUGUAGCGGUGAAAUGCGUAGAUAUAUGGAAGAACACCGGUGGCGAAGGCGGCUCUCUGGUCUGUUACUGAC